This 596-nucleotide ribosomal RNA is filed under the name Vibrionaceae bacterium pla-1-10-06. RNAcentral's name for it is "bacterial SSU rRNA". It matches the Rfam family "Bacterial small subunit ribosomal RNA", at positions 83 to 676 of the family's 1533-position model. Lineage: Bacteria; Pseudomonadati; Pseudomonadota; Gammaproteobacteria; Vibrionales; Vibrionaceae. The record is from RNAcentral.
UAACGGCGUCGAGCGGCGGACGGGUGAGUAAUGCCUGGGAAAUUGCCCUGAUGUGGGGGAUAACCAUUGGAAACGAUGGCUAAUACCGCAUAAUAGCUUCGGCUCAAAGAGGGGGACCUUCGGGCCUCUCGCGUCAGGAUAUGCCCAGGUGGGAUUAGCUAGUUGGUGAGGUAAUGGCUCACCAAGGCGACGAUCCCUAGCUGGUCUGAGAGGAUGAUCAGCCACACUGGAACUGAGACACGGUCCAGACUCCUACGGGAGGCAGCAGUGGGGAAUAUUGCACAAUGGGCGCAAGCCUGAUGCAGCCAUGCCGCGUGUAUGAAGAAGGCCUUCGGGUUGUAAAGUACUUUCAGCAGUGAGGAAGGUGGUGUCGUUAAUAGCGGCAUCAUUUGACGUUAGCUGCAGAAGAAGCACCGGCUAACUCCGUGCCAGCAGCCGCGGUAAUACGGAGGGUGCGAGCGUUAAUCGGAAUUACUGGGCGUAAAGCGCAUGCAGGUGGUUUGUUAAGUCAGAUGUGAAAGCCCGGGGCUCACCUCGGAAUUGCAUUUUAAACUGGCAGACUAGAGUACUGUAGAGGGGGGUAGAAUUUCAGGUGU